CACUACAUGGAUAAAUAUAAAAGAUUUUUUCUUAUUGAUUAAAUCUCUUUAAGAGUUAACUGACUGUUUAAACGAAAAUAAUGCAUUGUGUGGUUUAUAACAUGUAAAAGUAAAAUUUAUGAUAAUAGCACAAAGGCAGAGAAGGGAGAAAUAAAAGCAUACUAUCGUAAGUUUCUUAUAUGAAGUGAUAUAGCAUUGAAGGUAGACUGUCAUAAAUGUGUAUUGUAAACCCUGGGCUGCAUACAGUGGCUUAUACCUGUAAUCCCAGCUCUUUGGGAAGCUGAGGCAGGAGGAUCACUUGUGAGCCCAGGAGUUUGAGGCCAGCCUUGGCAACCUAGUGAGACCCUGUCUCUACAAACAUAUUUUUAAAAAUUCUUACCAAAACCUACCCUAAGGCAACUAUUAAAAUAACAAAAGACUUGUAGCUAAUAUGUCAAAAUGCGAUAAGAUGGAUUAUAAAAAUUACUCUGUUAAUCAAUAAAAUGGAAAAAGAUCAAAGAACAGAUGAGACAAAUAGGAAACAAAUGACUUGGCAGAUUAGAUAAAAAAGAACAAGACUCAACUCCAGGCUGCCUACGUGGAAUGUACUUUAACUGUAAAAACAGAGGCUAGUGUGGUGGCUUAUGCCUAUAAUCCCAGCACUUUGGGAGACAGAGGUGGGAGGAUCUCUUGAGGCCCAGUUUUCAAAACCAGCCUGGGCAGCAUAGACCCAGUUUCUACCAAAACAAAAUACAAACAAAUAGGUUAAAAGAUGGAGAAACUAUACCAUGCUAACGUUAACGAAAGGCUUAUUGUAGUGGCUGUAUUAAAGUCAGAUAAAGUAGAUUUCAGAACAAAGAAUAUUACCAAGGAUGAAGAAGGCCAUUUCAUAAUGAUAAAGAGUCAGUCCACAGGAUUUAACAGUCCUAAAUGUUUGUAUACCUAAAAACAGAGCUUUGGAAUUUAUAAAGCAAAAGCUAAUAGAAGUAGAGAAAUGGACAAAUCACAGUUAUAGGUGAUUUCAGCACUUCUUUUUAAAUAAUUGAUAGACUAUUUAGAAAAUCAGUGAGGAUAUGUAGUGAACUUUAACAGUAUUAUCAACCAACAUAAAUUAGUUGACAUUUACAGAACACUGCACCCAUAACAAGAGAAUAUACAUUUUCCUAACUGCUCACAGAACAUGUACUAAGAUAGAUCAUAUUUUUAGCCAUAAUACAAGAGUCAGUAAAUUUUGAAAGAUCCACUGUCCAAUCGUACGUAGUGGGAUUAAAUGGUAAAUUAAAGCAAAUAGAACCUUGGAAAAUCCCCAAAUAUUUGGAAACUAAAUAACACUUCUAAUUAACCCAUGGAUUAGAGAAGAUAUCAAGAGAGAAAUUAGUAGAUGCCACUGACCUGCAGUGCUUAGGAAAAUGUAUAGCACUAAACACCUAGAUUAGAAAAGAAAGGUCUCAAAUCAAUGACUUAACCUUCCACUUACUAGAACAAGAGCACAUAAGCCCAACUAAGCAAAAGAAACGUAGUGGUAAGGAACGAAACAAUUCAGUGAGGACACAGAGAAACAAUAAAGAAAAUCAAGGAAAUGAAAAGUUUGAGGACAUCGAUUGAUAAACCUUUAGCCUGCCUGACCAGAAAAAAAAAGAAGAGGAAAGACAUAUGAAGAAUGUGAGUUAUGAUAUCACUACAGACUGUACAGGUAUUAAAAGGAUAAUUAGAGAAUGAUAUGAGCAGCUAUAUGCAAAUAAAUUCAGCAUUGGAUAAAUGAACAAAUUU
This is a long non-coding RNA of Sapajus apella (tufted capuchin), 1749 nucleotides long. RefSeq lists it as uncharacterized. Lineage: Eukaryota; Metazoa; Chordata; Mammalia; Primates; Cebidae. The record is from RefSeq and is a predicted model, not a curated record. The transcript has 2 exons.